CAGAGCACCUGGAGCAACCCCACCUGCCCAUAUGAGCGGCCUCAGGCCCUGUGGCUCCGUUAUUUAUUCCAUGGAUUGAUUAUUUAAUUGGUGGGGGCUGCUCUGGACAGAGGAUUCGCCUGGCCCAGGUGAGAGUCCUUCUCUCACCUGGUUGGGGUCACCAGGACUCACCUGAGCUGCAGCCUCUGGGAUCCCUCCUGCUCUCCAUCCCACCUGGCAGAGCUCACCUGUGCCAGGACUCACCUGAGCUGGAGCCUCCUGGAUCCCACAGCAGCUCUGGCCCCCUGGCUGCCUCCACUUUCCUUGUUUUUAAGGGAAAAUCAGUUUUUCCCUAAUUGCUGUUUGUUUAAUGAAUGUUUCACCUGGGCCACCUCGUGCAGGUGAUGCUCCCACUCACCUGCAGCUGGGAAACACCUGGAACUGGCACAAGAGACUCAAGGCUGGAGUCCCCGACCUCACCUGGAGAUUCUGGGGGUUGAACCAACUUCACCUCCUCGUUGGCUCCUCCAUCACCUGGAACUGCUCGCCUGUACCUGUGGGAACCUUCUGGAACGUUCAUUCCGUGCUGGGAGGUGCCUCCAGCAGCUGCUGAGGGGUUGGAGCUGCCCCUGCAGGGACCACAUUUGGGAUGUGAGGGUGCAGGAGUGUCCCUGUCCCUACCUGUGGUCCUGGCCUGCUGCAGGUGGGCUCUGGGUGUCCAGGUGCUCCUGCAGAGCCCUGCAGGUGUGCCCAGGUGUGCAUCUCCUGCAGGGGUGCCCAGGUGUGCCCAGGUGUGCAGCUCCUGCUGUUCCUGAAUUCCCAGAGCACCUGCAGCUCCCUCCUCAGCUGCUCCGGCUCACCUGUGCUCCCUCUGGCUCCGGGCAUCUCCCCUGGCAUCAGACUGGUCAGACUGGGAUGGAUUCAGGUUCUCCAGGUGUGGAUUCCCCAGCCUCACCUGGUGCUUCCAGCCCUUCCUUGGCUGGGAUUCACGGGACACCCACCUGUGCUCCAGACCUUCCUGGGCUCUGUCUUGGGGUGAAACCUCUCAUUUCUGGGGCUUUUCCCUCUUUUUUGCCUUCAGCCAAGUGAGAUCAGCCCAGGGAGGGGCAGGAGAGGGGAAUUUGGGAUUGGGGUGGGGCUGCCUGCUCUGCUGGCUCUGACCUGGGGAUUGGCUCACCUGGACACUCCUGGAUUCUGGGAUCUGCUCACCUGCUUGGGACUGUGCCCCAAAACUGCAUUGUGUUCACCUGGACCCUGCAGCCUGCGGGAUCUGCUCACCUGGAUCUGUGUCCCUGAUCUGCUCA
Molecule: long non-coding RNA, 1283 nt
Filed under: Zonotrichia albicollis (white-throated sparrow)
Lineage: Eukaryota; Metazoa; Chordata; Aves; Passeriformes; Passerellidae
Description: lncRNA (ENSZALG00000005369.1)
Source: RNAcentral